RNAcentral lists this ribosomal RNA (484 nucleotides) under uncultured bacterium. RNAcentral's name for it is "bacterial SSU rRNA". It matches the Rfam family "Bacterial small subunit ribosomal RNA", at positions 28 to 496 of the family's 1533-position model. The record is from RNAcentral.
GAUGAACGCUAGCGGCAGGCUUAAUACAUGCAAGUCGAGGGGCAUCAAGGUACACGAAAGUGUAUUGUUGGCGACCGGCGGACGGGUGAGUAAUAGGUAGGUAACCUACCUCAUACUGAGGCAUAGCUGGGAGAAAUUCCAGGUAAUUCCUCAUGAGGUUAUAUGACACAUGUGAUAUAAUCAAAGGUAUCGCAAGGUACUGGUAUGAGAUGGGCUUACUGACCAUUAGCUAGUUGGUGAGAUAAGAGCUCACCAAGGCGAAGAUGGUUAGGGGUUUUGAGAGAGAGAUCCCCCACAUUGGAACUGAGAUACGGUCCAGACUCCUACGGGAGCAGCAGUAGGGAAUAUUGGGCAAUGGGCGGAAGCCUGACCCAGCCAUGCCGCGUGAAGGAAGACGGCCUUAUGGGUUGUAAACUUCUUUACUAUGCGACUAACUAGAUUUACGAGAUAAUUCUAUAGAAUGUAGCAUAGCAAAAAGCACCGG